AUGAAGAAGAAGAUCACCGACGACGAGCACAAGCGUUGGGCCACCCUGCCUCUGUCCAUGAGGCACAUCGAGUACGCGACAAAGGACGCCUAUGCAGCGAUGGCGGCGGUAGCGGAUACAUGCGUUUACGCAGAGGGGCUAGAGCUCACCAACACAGAGUGGCCCAGCAUGCUCGGGUGCCUGAUGAUACCCAAUAGGGGGUUUCGGGCACCAUUUCUUCAUCGCCUCACACCCGCAGAUCUGCAGCAAAGUUGGAAACUGCCAUCCACAGUAAAAUUUCCUGCUCCGAGUUCAGGGAUGGUUACUUUGGAGACAGAACACAAGAAUGGGUAUGGAGACAGGCAAGCUGACUACCACAUCGACUCUGAAGAAUGCAUCAAGAUAACUACUGGUUGGAAAGAAUUUGUCUCCUAG
RNAcentral lists this ribosomal RNA (414 nucleotides) under Triticum aestivum (bread wheat). Its description in RNAcentral is "partial small subunit ribosomal RNA". The record is from RNAcentral. Lineage: Eukaryota; Viridiplantae; Streptophyta; Magnoliopsida; Poales; Poaceae.